GUAGGUGGCAAGCGUUGUCCGGAAUUAUUGGGCGUAAAGCGCGCGCAGGCGGUUCUUUAAGUCUGAUGUGAAAGCCCGCGGGCUCAACCGUGGAGGGUCAUUGGAAACUGGAGAACUUGAGUACAGAAGAGGAAAGCGGAAUUCCACGUGUAGCGGUGAAAUGCGUAGAGAUGUGGAGGAACACCAGUGGCGAAGGCGGCUUUCUGGUCUGUAACUGACGCUGAGGCGCGAAAGCGUGGGGAGCAAACAGGAUUAGAUACCCUGGUAGUCCACGCCGUAAACGAUGAGUGCUAAGUGUUAGGGGGGUUUCCGCCCCUUAGUGCUGCAGCUAACGCAUUAAGCACUCCGCCUGGGGAGUACGGCCGCAAGGCUG
RNAcentral lists this ribosomal RNA (373 nucleotides) under uncultured organism. RNAcentral's name for it is "partial 16S ribosomal RNA". It matches the Rfam family "Bacterial small subunit ribosomal RNA", at positions 527 to 896 of the family's 1533-position model. The record is from RNAcentral.